GACGAACCGUGCGAACGUUAUUCGGAGUCACUGGGCUUAAAGCGCGUGUAGGCGGGACGGCACGUCGGUCGCUGAAAUCCCCCGGCUUAACCGGGGAACUGGCGUCGAUACGACCGUCCUGGAGGGGCGUAGGGGGACCUGGAACUUCCGGUGGAGCGGUGAAAUGCGUUGAGAUCGGAAGGAACGCCCGUGGCGAAAGCGAGGUCCUGGACGCCUACUGACGCUGAGACGCGAAAGCCAGGGGAGCGAACGGG
RNAcentral lists this ribosomal RNA (254 nucleotides) under uncultured bacterium. RNAcentral describes it as "partial 16S ribosomal RNA". It matches the Rfam family "Bacterial small subunit ribosomal RNA", at positions 524 to 776 of the family's 1533-position model. The record is from RNAcentral.